This 365-nucleotide ribosomal RNA is filed under the name uncultured soil bacterium. RNAcentral describes it as "bacterial SSU rRNA". It matches the Rfam family "Bacterial small subunit ribosomal RNA", at positions 26 to 395 of the family's 1533-position model. The record is from RNAcentral.
AGAUUGAACGCUGGCGGCAGGCCUAACACAUGCAAGUCGAGCGGCAGCACGGGUACUUGUACCUGGUGGCGAGCGGCGGACGGGUGAGUAAUGCCUAGGAAUCUGCCUGGUAGUGGGGGAUAACGCUCGGAAACGGACGCUAAUACCGCAUACGUCCUACGGGAGAAAGCAGGGGACCUUCGGGCCUUGCGCUAUCAGAUGAGCCUAGGUCGGAUUAGCUAGUUGGUGAGGUAAUGGCUCACCAAGGCGACGAUCCGUAACUGGUCUGAGAGGAUGAUCAGUCACACUGGAACUGAGACACGGUCCAGACUCCUACGGGAGCAGCAGUGGGAAUAUUGACAUGGGCGAAAGCCUGAUCCAGCCAU